RNAcentral lists this ribosomal RNA (271 nucleotides) under Synechococcus sp. KUAC 3082. Its description in RNAcentral is "partial 16S ribosomal RNA". It matches the Rfam family "Bacterial small subunit ribosomal RNA", at positions 478 to 748 of the family's 1533-position model. Lineage: Bacteria; Bacillati; Cyanobacteriota; Cyanophyceae; Synechococcales; Synechococcaceae. The record is from RNAcentral.
CCUGAUGAAUCAGCAUCGGCUAACUCCGUGCCAGCAGCCGCGGUAAGACGGAGGAUGCAAGCGUUAUCCGGAAUUAUUGGGCGUAAAGCGUCCGCAGGUGGCCUGUUAAGUCUGCUGUUAAAGCCCAGGGCUUAACUCUGGAUCAGCGGUGGAAACUGGCAGGCUAGAGUACGGUAGGGGUAGAGGGAAUUCCUGGUGUAGCGGUGAAAUGCGUAGAUAUCAGGAAGAACACCGGUGGCGGGGGCGCUCUACUGGGCCGUAACUGACACUC